Long non-coding RNA from Rattus rattus (black rat), 498 nucleotides. RefSeq lists it as uncharacterized. The transcript has 2 exons. The record is from RefSeq and is a predicted model, not a curated record. Lineage: Eukaryota; Metazoa; Chordata; Mammalia; Rodentia; Muridae.
ACACUCCCCAACAGUAUCUUCUUACCUAUCCCUUGAUAUUUUCCUCACAAUCCCACAAAAUGUCCUGAACUUGUCAUCUGAUCCAGCAUGCUAGUAAUAAGCUGCACUAGUAGCCUCACUCCCACUUUUAAGUUUAUUUUGAGACUGGAUCUUGCUAAGUCAGAAGACUUUCAGGUAUCCUUUCUCCUUUAUUCUUAUGUUUCAGGGAUCACACUAAGAAGGUCAGGCUUGUGUUGCAGGGGCCCCAAAGUUAGUUUCUAGGCCUUGGGUCUGUGGUGGGUGGCAGAGCACUUGCUAGUAUUCUCAAGUCCUUAGGUUUGAUCCCUGUACCACAAUCCUAGGCACAAGUCCUCUGUAACUAGAAGGUAAACAGAGGGCCAGGGGGACUCAGAGGGGAAAUGCUGAGCUCCAGCACAGGAGAAAAAGCCAAAUGGUAACACCCAGUUAGGUGGUUUGUGUUGCAGCUCAACUCCGUUGAUAAAAUAUUUGUCUAGCUUG